RNAcentral lists this ribosomal RNA (816 nucleotides) under uncultured crenarchaeote. RNAcentral's name for it is "bacterial SSU rRNA". It matches the Rfam family "Archaeal small subunit ribosomal RNA", at positions 52 to 876 of the family's 1478-position model. The record is from RNAcentral. Lineage: Archaea; Thermoproteati; Thermoproteota.
UGCGAGUCGACACAGCAAUGUGUGGCAUACGGCUCAGUAACACGUAGUCAACAUGCCCAGGGGACGUGGAUAACCUCGGGAAACUGAGGAUAAACCGCGAUAGGUCACUACUUCUGGAAUGGGUAAUGACCCAAACCUAUAUGGCCCCUGGAUUGGACUGCGGCCGAUCAGGCUGUUGGUGAGGUAAUGGCCCACCAAACCUGUAACCGGUACGGGCUCUGAGAGGAGGAGCCCGGAGAUGGGCACUGAGACAAGGGCCCAGGCCCUAUGGGGCGCAGCAGGCGCGAAACCUCUGCAAUAGGCGAAAGCUUGACAGGGUUACUCUGAGUGAUUUCCGUUAAGGAGAUCUUUUGGCACCUCUAAAAAUGGUGCAGAAUAAGGGGUGGGCAAGUCUGGUGUCAGCCGCCGCGGUAAUACCAGCACCCCGAGUGGUCGGGACGUUUAUUGGGCCUAAAGCAUCCGUAGCCGGUUCUACAAGUCUUCCGUUAAAUCCACCUGCUCAACAGAUGGGCUGCGGAAGAUACUAUGGAGCUAGGAGGCGGGAGAGGCAAGCGGUACUCGAUGGGUAGGGGUAAAAUCCGUUGAUCCAUUGAAGACCACCAGUGGCGAAGGCGGCUUGCCAGGACGCGCUCGACGGUGAGGGAUGAAAGCUGGGGGAGCAAACCGGAUUAGAUACCCGGGUAGUCCCAGCUGUAAACGAUGCAGACUCGGUGAUGAGUUGGCUUUAUGCCAACUCAGUGCCGCAGGGAAGCCGUUAAGUUUGCCGCCUGGGGAGUACGGUCGCAAGACUGAAACUUAAAGGAAUUGGCGGGGGAG